GACGAACGCUGGCGGCGUGCUUAACACAUGCAAGUCGAACGGAAAGGCACUGCUUUUGUGGGGUGCUCGAGUGGCGAACGGGUGAGUAACACGUGAGUAACCUGCCCUUGACUUUGGGAUAACUUCAGGUAACUGGGGCUAAUACAGGAUAGCAGACGCUGCUGCAUGGAGGGGGUUGGAAAGUUUCUGCUGUAGGGGAUGGACGGGCGGAUUAUGGGCUUGUUAGUGGGGGAGUGGCAUACCAAGGAUUUGAAGGGUAGCCGGCCUGUGUGGGUGACCGGCCACCUUGGGACUGCGAGACGGAGCAGACUGCUAUGUGAGGCAGCAGUCGCGAACAUUGCCCAACGGUCCGAAGCCUGAUGCAGAAACGCUGGGUUCGUGAUGCCGUCUUUCGGGUUGUAAACCGCAUUCGCCUGAUACGAAGCGGUAGUGACGGUAACGGGUGAAGAAGCACCGGCUAACUACGUG
Molecule: ribosomal RNA, 468 nt
Filed under: uncultured bacterium
Lineage: Bacteria
Description: partial 16S ribosomal RNA
Rfam family: Bacterial small subunit ribosomal RNA
Source: RNAcentral